UUAAACGGUAGGGUAUUGGCCUACCGUGGCAAUGACGGGUAACGGGGAAUUAGGGUUCGAUUCCGGAGAGGGAGCCUGAGAAACGGCUACCACAUCUAAGGAAGGCAGCAGGCGCGCAAAUUACCCAAUCCUAAUACAGGGAGGUAGUGACAAGAAAUAACAAUACAGGACUUUUUGGUUUUGUAAUUGGAAUGAGUA
Molecule: ribosomal RNA, 198 nt
Filed under: Cryptosporidium parvum
Lineage: Eukaryota; Apicomplexa; Conoidasida; Eucoccidiorida; Cryptosporidiidae
Description: partial 18S ribosomal RNA
Rfam family: Eukaryotic small subunit ribosomal RNA
Source: RNAcentral